Molecule: ribosomal RNA, 468 nt
Filed under: uncultured bacterium
Lineage: Bacteria
Description: partial 16S ribosomal RNA
Rfam family: Bacterial small subunit ribosomal RNA
Source: RNAcentral
GACGAACGCUGGCGGCGUGCUUAACACAUGCAAGUCGAACGGAAAGGCCCUGCUUUUGUGGGGUGCUCGAGUGGCGAACGGGUGAGUAACACGUGAGUAACCUGCCCUUGACUUUGGGAUAACUUCAGGAAACUGGGGCUAAUACCGGAUAGGAGCUCCUGCUGCAUGGUGGGGGUUGGAAAGUUUCGGCGGUUGGGGAUGGACUCGCGGCUUAUCAGCUUGUUGGUGGGGUAGUGGCUUACCAAGGCUUUGACGGGUAGCCGGCAUGGGAGGGUGGCCGGCCACAUUGGGACUGAGAUACGGCCCAGACUCCUACGGGAGGCAGCAGUGGGGAAUAUUGCACAAUGGGCGGAAGCCUGAUGCAGCAACGCCGCGUGCGGGAUGACGGCCUUCGGGUUGUAAACCGCUUUCGCCUGUGACGAAGCGUGAGUGACGGUAAUGGGUAAAGAAGCACCGGCUAACUACGUG